This 253-nucleotide ribosomal RNA is filed under the name uncultured bacterium. RNAcentral describes it as "partial 16S ribosomal RNA". It matches the Rfam family "Bacterial small subunit ribosomal RNA", at positions 524 to 776 of the family's 1533-position model. The record is from RNAcentral.
GACAGAGGGUGCAAACGUUGUUCGGAAUUACUGGGCGUAAAGCGCGUGUAGGCGGCUAGGUAAGUCAGGCGUGAAAUCCCACGGCUCAACCGUGGAAGUGCGCCUGAUACUGCAUAGCUAGAGUCCUGGAGAGGAAGGUGGAAUGCUUGGUGUAGAGGUGAAAUUCGUAGAUAUCAAGCGGAACACCGGUGGCGAAGGCGGCCUUCUGGACAGUGACUGACGCUGAGACGCGAAAGCGUGGGGAGCAAACAGG